AACGACUCUCGGCAACGGAUAUCUCGGCUCUUGCAUCGAUGAAGAACGUAGCGAAAUGCGAUACUUGGUGUGAAUUGCAGAAUCCCGUGAACCAUUGAGUCUUUGAACGCAAGUUGCGCCCUAAGCCGUUAGGCCGAGGGCACGUCCGCCUGGGUGUCACGCAU
RNAcentral lists this ribosomal RNA (164 nucleotides) under Tetratheca filiformis. Its description in RNAcentral is "5.8S ribosomal RNA". It matches the Rfam family "5.8S ribosomal RNA". Rfam says of the family: 5.8S ribosomal RNA (5.8S rRNA) is a component of the large subunit of the eukaryotic ribosome. It is transcribed by RNA polymerase I as part of the 45S precursor that also contains 18S and 28S rRNA. RNAcentral also lists the same sequence under 4 other names. Lineage: Eukaryota; Viridiplantae; Streptophyta; Magnoliopsida; Oxalidales; Elaeocarpaceae. The record is from RNAcentral.